Molecule: non-coding RNA, 103 nt
Organism: Hypoxylon fuscum
Lineage: Eukaryota; Fungi; Ascomycota; Sordariomycetes; Xylariales; Hypoxylaceae
Source: the annotation of a GenBank genome assembly
ACCCGCUUGGCACAUCGGUAAUGCACCUCACUAGAGAACCUGGCAGAACAAAUUACUGGGGAUUGCAAUGAGGAGAUGGCUGGUUCGACUCCAGUAGUGGGCA